Molecule: long non-coding RNA, 1771 nt
Filed under: Carica papaya (papaya)
Lineage: Eukaryota; Viridiplantae; Streptophyta; Magnoliopsida; Brassicales; Caricaceae
Description: long non-coding RNA (CPAP_LNC007073)
Source: RNAcentral
UUCGCUUCUUAGUGGGAAAAUCCCCCACUCGUGGACAGGGCAUGCAUAUGGGACAAGUCUUUUUUUCCCCGCACAACUACAGGCUUGUUUGUGUGCGGAACGGUGUCGCCACUACCCAUCUGCGCAAAAAUACAAGGGAUUCUGUGUGUGGGCAUGCUUGUCGAAACUCCCCCAUGCUACUAGCAAAAAACCCUUACGGGCUUCCCAACCUCACGGGUUUUGCCACCUGCGGGCAUGUAGAUCAUUUGUCAUGACUGCUCCACUGAUUUGACAUCACUAAGCCUGAAAUUGAUAGCUGCAAGCCAAGACCCCUCUCUUCUCUGCCAUAUGUUGUUUGACCAAUUCCCCUCUCCAACCUUAUUGGCCACCCAAGCCUCCAACAGCUUAGAUCACUUGUAUGUGAUCCAACGGCCAAGGAUGCACUAGAUGGGUAGUUUAAAUACUUCAUUUCCCUCUAUUUUAUCCUCCAUUUCUUCAUUUGGUCAAGAGAGCAGAAAACCAGUGAGUGAGAGAGAGAGUCGAGUCCGAGAGUGAGAGCUUGGUGUUAUGGUGUGAGCUGAGAGCAGGAAAAAUAGUGUGCGCUUCUAUCUGGUACGAAAUGACUUCUUCCCUUCUAAGGUAAGUCUUUUUUCCUUUAUUUUGAGAUGAUUAACUCUUCCUUUCAGCUACUCACUCAUUUCCCCUUCACCCAAUACAAAAUCCUUCUUCCAACUUCAACUGAAGCUCCUUCUACAACUAAAAUUGAGCCAGGACAUACUAUUUGAGGUAAACACCUUUUUACUCUUCGAUUCUUGUUCUUUUCCAUUCUUCUCUUGAUUUAUAAAUUUAGAAUAGUUUUUGUAGGCCUUAAGUUGAGUUUAAAUCAAAUUCAUGCAGUUAAAAAUAACCCGAAAUCCACAAAUUCAACUUAAAAACACGACUGACACAACAACAGCUACACAAUGUUGUCAUAUUUCUAAUGCCCUUAUGUUCAUACAUUUUGAUAUAUUAGAGUGUCUACAAUGAGGUAAGAUUAGUGGUAAUUAGUUUUUACAAGCAUUCGGUUUUAUAGAUGCAUUUAGAUGAGUUAAAUCUUUGAAAAAUGUGUGAAUGUUUACUAUUUUAGUUGAUGUAGAGUGUCUUGUGUUGGUUGCAUGAUUUUGAUGAUUUAAUCAUGUUUUUGUUUAUGUUUUUUUAUGAGUUUUGAUGCCCGGAUAAUUUAUGAUGAAUUGGAAUGAAUUUCAGAUAAUAAAUGAAAGAAAAAAAUGGAAAAGGAAUAGCAAACAGAGGCUAGAUUCCUCUAUCUGUGAUGUCCAAGCACUAAUGUGCCAGCAAAGGGGGCAGGCAUGGGUGAUCGUGCAUGAUGGUGCAUGCGAGACACUGUACAAAUGCCCCUGCUGCACCAAGAGGGCCCGCAUGAGGCACUGUGUGUGUGGAGUGAUAUGGUGCAUGUGCACAAGGAUGUAGACCUAGGCACCCACAACAUUGAGGCGUGUGCCCCACUGCCAUACUGCAGCACACACCAAGUCGUGCGGGGCAUGGAGCGCUAUUAAGCGUGCACAUGCUGAAAGCACCAUCGGCCAAGGCACCUUGUGCCGCGGGUACAGGCUUACAAGAAUUUAUCCCCCUAUCACGGAUUCGAGGACAAAUUGCUCAAAAUGUCAAAAAGAACGAAUUUUUGUAAUUUAAAAUUAAGUUUUGAAUUUUGAAAAUGGUAAAAUAAGAGAUUCAAAAUUAAAAAAGGAAAUUUACAAUUAAAAUAUGAAUUUUGAAUACAGCAAGAAAUAAGGAA